RNAcentral lists this ribosomal RNA (253 nucleotides) under uncultured bacterium. RNAcentral's name for it is "partial 16S ribosomal RNA". It matches the Rfam family "Bacterial small subunit ribosomal RNA", at positions 524 to 776 of the family's 1533-position model. The record is from RNAcentral.
UACGUAGGGGGCAAGCGUUGUCCGGAUUUAUUGGGCGUAAAGAGCGUGUAGGCGGUCAGGUAGGUCCGUUGUGAAAACUCGAGGCUCAACCUCGAGACGCCGAUGGAAACCAUCUGACUAGAGUCCGGAAGAGGAGAGUGGAAUUCCUGGUGUAGCGGUGAAAUGCGUAGAUAUCAGGAGGAACACCUGUGGCGAAGGCGAGUCCCUGGACGAUACCUGACACUGAGGCACGAAAGCCAAGGGAGCAAACAGG